Molecule: ribosomal RNA, 440 nt
Filed under: uncultured bacterium
Lineage: Bacteria
Description: partial 16S ribosomal RNA
Rfam family: Bacterial small subunit ribosomal RNA
Source: RNAcentral
CCUACGGGAGGCUGCAGUGGGGGAUAUUGCACAAUGGGGGGAACCCUGAUGCAGCGACGCCGCGUGGGUGAAGAAGCGCCUCGGCGCGUAAAGCUCUGUCAGCAGGGAAGUAAAUGACGGUACCUGAAGAAGAAUCUCCGGCUAAUGACGUGCCAGCAGCCGAGGUAAUACGGAGGGGGCAAGCGUUAUCCGGAGUUACUGGGUGUAAAGGGGGCGCAGUCGGAGAUGCAAGCCAGGAGUGAAAGCCCGGGGCCCAACCCCGGGACUGCUCGUGGUACUGCGUGGCUGGAGUGCAGGAGGGGCAGGCGGAAUUCGUGGUGUAGCGGUGAAAUGCGUAGAUAUCAGGAGGAACACCGGUGGCGAAGGCGGCCUGCUGGACUGCAACUGACGUUGAGGCCCGAAAGCGUGGGGAGCAAACAGGAUUAGAUACCCUAGUAGUC